UACGUAGGGUGCGAGCGUUAAUCGGAUUUAUUGGGCGUAAAGAGCUCGUAGGCGGCUCAGUAAGUCAGGUGUGAAACCUCCAGGCUCAACCUGGAGACGCCACCUGAUACUGCUGUGGCUAGAGUCCGGUAGGGGAGCGUGGAAUUCCUGGUGUAGCGGUGAAAUGCGCAGAUAUCAGGAGGAACACCAGCGGCGAAGGCGGCGCUCUGGGCCGGAACUGACGCUGAGGAGCGAAAGCGUGGGUAGCAAACAGG
RNAcentral lists this ribosomal RNA (254 nucleotides) under uncultured bacterium. Its description in RNAcentral is "partial 16S ribosomal RNA". It matches the Rfam family "Bacterial small subunit ribosomal RNA", at positions 524 to 776 of the family's 1533-position model. The record is from RNAcentral.